RNAcentral lists this unclassified non-coding RNA (150 nucleotides) under uncultured fungus. Its description in RNAcentral is "sequence contains ITS1". Lineage: Eukaryota; Fungi. The record is from RNAcentral.
UGUUUAAAUUAUUAUCGUUAAAAAUUUUGUUUGUUUUUUUGAUCCAAAUACACGAGCGGGUUUGGUUGAAUACACGGGGAAUGCACCGAAGCGCCCUCCCCGACAUUCAUUAUUGUUUUAAUGAUCCUUCCGCAGGUUCACCUACGGAAA